CAAAGCUCAGCUGGUGGGGGUGAUCUGGAGGCCUUGUCAACAGCAUGCACUUGAUCCAGAGAAAGUCACUGGCACCAGAGCUGUGUUAGAAACUUCUAGGUACCCACCUGAGCUUAUCUUCAGGUAUGUAAGGAAUCAAAUCGAUGGCAUGAAUUUAGGCAAUUGCAUUCUGCUGGAGUGACAUGUUAGGAGCCUUCAUGCUUUUUUGAACUUUCUCCUCAAUCUGUGUAAGUUUUGCAGGAAAUGUUUCACAAUGGAGGUACACUGAGAAAGAAGUGAUGAAGUCCCUUAAAAGACUGGACAAACUUCCUAAACUUCUUGGUUUUGUCUGAUUGAAUGAGUUCUUAGGAAUACAUACCUUCAACCAGCUCCCUGAAAUCUGUAAAUCCAAAGUAUAAGGAGGGCUUAAAGCAGUUAUUGAGCAGGCCCUAGCACUCCCUGAACAGCAGAAGCAGAAUUUUUAUUUCCUUUAAGGAUAUGUAGAGUAUAUCCUCUUGUACAUGCUGGGCCAGCCAGCACCUUAGGAACAUCAUUUGGCUUCCCUAGGCACUCUUGUGGAAGCCUAGGAGGAAGCAAUGGGCAGUGGAUAAUUUGGUGGAGGGAAAAGCCAGGAGGAAGCAGUUAGAUAGAUAGUCCAGUGCACUGGACUAUCCCAUAUCCUACUAUAUACAGAUGAGCACUGUUGGGGCCAAAGCCUGGAAACAAUGGGAAAAAACUGGUCUGCCAAUACCUUUUAUUCCCAGGACGGGCACAGGUACUGGGAACUUCACACUACGGCUUGCUUGUUUUGCUUCUAGACCCGGACUGAGCAGAUGUGAAGAUGGCAACAAUGGGACUGAAAACAACAGGGGAAAAAAGAAGGUGGCAACCAGAGCUGUCUUUCUUCUUGCAAGACAGAGUACAAAGCCUCUGCACACUCCUGAAUGCUGUCACUCUUCACGAGUACAAUCUCUGUCUCGCUCAGCAAUGGGCAUCUGGAAGCCACGACACCAGUUAUAACAGCCUAUGUCAAGGAUAUUAAUUAAAUUCCUGAUGGCCACCCAGAGAAGCUAAUGAGUGUAAAUUUCACAACAUCCCAACUCAUAAGGCAGCCCACUUAACCUUUUCAGCAUUGAUAUCCUUCCUCCAGGAGGGAAGUAAGGAAGUGAGCUGUUUGCCGAGGGAGCAUGGAAAGGAGGAACAGGGAAAGGAGGAGAUACUUGGUCUGGAACAGUUUAAAAUACAAACAGAUGAGAACUGGAUCUGCUGGAUUCAGAUAUCCCACAACAGAAUGGAAAAAGGUUUUUUUCAGAACUGAGAUCCCAGACAGCAUUUUGCACAGAACCUUUAUUGCUAUGAAUCUGAGUGUAUCUCCUCACCUCAGCCUCUUCCAGCUCCAUGAGCAAGAGAAGCAGCUCUCUUUUUAACCCCAAUGAGGCACACUUACUGGACUUUGAAUUCCCCCUGCUCUUGACAUAGCACACCUCUUACAUUUCUGAGUGCUGUGGAGGACAGAAUACGUAAUUACCAUCAUCCCACCAUACAGUUACCUCUACAAUAGAUGUACAGACAGCCUAAAUUAACAUGUAGUGAAUCAUGUAAGUGCUAUGGGACCAACAAUUGGAACUGGGGAAUUUCUGACACCCAUCUUUAUCAUCAGGGAUUUUGAUCACUUCAAUGUUCAAAGUGUUUUCUUAAUUCACAAACCUCAUUUACGAUAUCUACCAUUAGGCCCUAAUAAAAAUGCCUUCACUCUAAAGUCA
Zonotrichia albicollis (white-throated sparrow) is the source of this 1742-nucleotide long non-coding RNA. NCBI's taxonomy places the organism in Eukaryota, Metazoa, Chordata, Aves, Passeriformes, Passerellidae. The record is from Ensembl.